ACGUAGGUGGCAAGCGUUGUCCGGAUUUACUGGGCGUAAAGAGCGCGCAGGCGGUCGGAUUAGUCGCGUGUGAAAGCCCCCGGCUCAACUGGGGAGGGUCACGCGAUACUGUUCGACUCGAAGGCAGGAGAGGGAAGUGGAAUUCCCGGUGUAGUGGUGAAAUGCGUAGAUAUCGGGAGGAACACCAGUGGCGAAGGCGACUUCCUGGCCUGUUCUUGACGCUGAGGCGCGAAAGCUAGGGUAGCAAACGGGA
RNAcentral lists this ribosomal RNA (253 nucleotides) under uncultured prokaryote. Its description in RNAcentral is "partial 16S ribosomal RNA". It matches the Rfam family "Bacterial small subunit ribosomal RNA", at positions 525 to 777 of the family's 1533-position model. The record is from RNAcentral.